This is a non-coding RNA of Vicia faba (fava bean), 243 nucleotides long. NCBI's taxonomy places the organism in Eukaryota, Viridiplantae, Streptophyta, Magnoliopsida, Fabales, Fabaceae. The record is from the annotation of a GenBank genome assembly.
AUGUGGCGGCGGGACGCGGAUCAGCGGUGGCGAUCCUUCGUAUUGGCUUUCGGCGGUGUGCUUUUUGUUGGUCGUCAGAGGCGUUGGAUCUGGAUAGAGCGCAUGAGUUGGUCGCCGGUUUGGCUAGCGCCGACCGGUUGGGUUGUGCGGGUGUGCUUUGAUCGAGUUUGUCGACAAAUUCGAGAUUCUGAUUCUUCUUUUUCUUUUGAUUUACUUCACUGUUGUUUUCAGAAUUCUGAAUAG